GCUCCAAUAGCGUAUAUUUAAGUUGUUGCAGUUAAAAAGCUCGUAGUUGGAUUUCGGGUGGGUUCUAGCGGUCCGCCUCUGGUGUGUACUGCUAUGGCUCACCUUUCUGCUGGGGACACGCUCUUGGGCUUAACUGUCCGGGACGUGGAAUCAGCGAUGCUACUUUGAGUAAAUUGGAGUGUUCAAAGCAGGCGUACGCU
Molecule: ribosomal RNA, 200 nt
Filed under: uncultured eukaryote
Lineage: Eukaryota
Description: partial 18S ribosomal RNA
Rfam family: Eukaryotic small subunit ribosomal RNA
Source: RNAcentral